UUCUUAGAGCCAGCAGCCGCGGUAAUUCCAGCUCCAAUAGCGUAUAUUAAACUUGUUGCAGUUAAAAAGCUCGUAGUUGAAUUUCUGCUGUUUCGUUGACUGCGUUUGGCGUUUGUCAUCGUUGCGGCUUGGUUGGGUUUCGAUUAUUCGUUUCCCGGCGUUUACUUUGAGAAAAUUACCAGUGCUUGAAGCAGGCUUUUGCCUUGAAUACUUUAGCGUGGAAUGGCGCAACAAGACUUUGGUUCAAUUUUGUUG
RNAcentral lists this ribosomal RNA (255 nucleotides) under Theileria equi. Its description in RNAcentral is "partial small subunit ribosomal RNA". It matches the Rfam family "Eukaryotic small subunit ribosomal RNA", at positions 559 to 846 of the family's 1831-position model. Lineage: Eukaryota; Apicomplexa; Aconoidasida; Piroplasmida; Theileriidae. The record is from RNAcentral.